UACGUAGGGAGCAAGCGUUGUCCGGAAUCAUUGGGCGUAAAGCGCGCGUAGGUGGCUUCAUAAGUCCGUUGUGAAAGUCAAAGGCUCAACCUUUGAAAGCCGAUGGAUACUGUGAAGCUAGAGUACGGAAGAGGCGAGUGGAAUUCCUGGUGUAGCGGUGGAAUGCGCAGAUAUCAGGAGGAACACCAAUAGCGAAGGCAGCUCGCUGGGACGUUACUGACACUGAGAGACGAAAGCUAGGGGAGCGAAUGGG
RNAcentral lists this ribosomal RNA (253 nucleotides) under uncultured bacterium. Its description in RNAcentral is "partial 16S ribosomal RNA". It matches the Rfam family "Bacterial small subunit ribosomal RNA", at positions 524 to 776 of the family's 1533-position model. The record is from RNAcentral.